This 354-nucleotide ribosomal RNA is filed under the name Triticum aestivum (bread wheat). Its description in RNAcentral is "partial small subunit ribosomal RNA". Lineage: Eukaryota; Viridiplantae; Streptophyta; Magnoliopsida; Poales; Poaceae. The record is from RNAcentral.
AUGCAUGUUGUCUGUUAUGCUUGGAGCCUUACCUGGUGCGCGCAUGCAAUUAUCGUACCAAGCAUAAAAAAAAAAGCCUUCUUCUUCUCUCCUUUGUUUGUUUAUUUAUAUAUAAAUAAUCAUCACACCUUGCUUUCCCAUUCAUUAACUACAGUAGCUACCAGCUCCUGCUUUACAAAAAGGGCAUCAGCAUUCAGCAUAGCAUCUGCUUGCUUCCUGGAUGGAUCAUCGCUAAGUACGUACCGCGCGCGCUUUUGUCCUCUAACAAGAACACUUUGUGCUAGUGCAAAUCUAAUCGAGCAAUCAUGCUUAGCAGAAGCAACAGGUGCUGGGAUCAUGGCUGCCUCAGCCUGA